GCCGUACUUAUUGCCGUGUAAAAAUGUCGGAAUGUCACUGCCAAAUCAAAUCACUCUUCUUAGGCAAACAAAUGAAGCUCUUCGUUACUGUAUCAGCAUCACCGAGACUGAGAGAUGAUCAGGAAACUAUCCAUCACAAUUUCAAUUUACCCAAGUCAAUCUUUUGCUUAGGGUACGUGUAGGCCUCGUAGUUUAUCUUCUGCCCAAGGGAGCUCAGCUUUGUGAGCGUGGUUAUCAGGUCAACCUCGUAGUCAGUUCGAGAGACCGUCUCGCGACUGCGUUGAUACUUCUCGACCCAUGGGCGG
RNAcentral lists this unclassified non-coding RNA (305 nucleotides) under Hevea brasiliensis (rubber tree). The record is from RNAcentral. Lineage: Eukaryota; Viridiplantae; Streptophyta; Magnoliopsida; Malpighiales; Euphorbiaceae.